GUCCUGAGUGGCACAAUGGGUCAGUGCAUCUGGCUGUUAACCAAAAUGGUUGGUGGUUCAAGCCCAACCAGGGACG
This is a non-coding RNA of Podarcis lilfordi (Lilford's wall lizard), 76 nucleotides long. The record is from the annotation of a GenBank genome assembly. Lineage: Eukaryota; Metazoa; Chordata; Lepidosauria; Squamata; Lacertidae.